Molecule: long non-coding RNA, 285 nt
Filed under: Solanum tuberosum (potato)
Lineage: Eukaryota; Viridiplantae; Streptophyta; Magnoliopsida; Solanales; Solanaceae
Description: long non-coding RNA (STUB_LNC007684)
Source: RNAcentral
CGCUUCGUCCACAAGGCCGUACUGGGGCCGGACCCACCACCACCACCACACUUUCAUCAUCUCCUGUGAAUCCGCCUUCACCUUUGCAAUCGCCUUUGCCUAAGUCGAACCGGUUCGUGCCUCCACAUCUUAGACCGGGAUUUGUAGGCAGGGAAGAGAAACCGGUGCCGGAUGUAGCGAAGGGUGGUCAGGGAGUGAGAGGUAGACCGGAGGUUGGGGCUGGGCAGCAUCAUCAUCAAGGAUAUCCUGGGUCGUCACCUAAUAGGUACGGAGAGAACGGUAGGC